Molecule: ribosomal RNA, 430 nt
Filed under: Satsuma lini
Lineage: Eukaryota; Metazoa; Mollusca; Gastropoda; Stylommatophora; Camaenidae
Description: partial 16S ribosomal RNA
Rfam family: Archaeal large subunit ribosomal RNA
Source: RNAcentral
AACUACAAGAGGUAUUUGUAGCGCUUUCUGCUCAAUGAGAUUUUAAAUAGCCGCAGUACUCUGACUGUGCAAAGGUAGCAUAAUAAUUUGGCUUUUAAUUGGGGUCUGGUAUGAAUGAAAUAAUGGGGAGAAACUGUAUCAGAUAAAGUACCUUAAUUUACUUAUAGGGUGAAAAUUCCCUUUUUAAAAUAUUAGACGAGAAGACCCUUGAAAUUUAUUCAAUAUUUUGUUGGGGCGACAGAGUAGCAAGAAACCUACUUAUAUAAAUAUGAUAAAUAUAUUAAGAUUAAUUAAAUUACUCAAGGGAUAACAGCAUAAUUAUUAAAUAGUUUGUGACCUCGAUGUUGGAUUAGGAAAAUCAAACCCAGAAGGUAAUGAUGAUUGCUCUGUUCGAGCAUUAAUUCCUACGUGAUCUGGUUCCCGAACCGGA